RNAcentral lists this ribosomal RNA (491 nucleotides) under uncultured bacterium. RNAcentral describes it as "partial 16S ribosomal RNA". It matches the Rfam family "Bacterial small subunit ribosomal RNA", at positions 29 to 506 of the family's 1533-position model. The record is from RNAcentral.
AGUGAACGCUGGCGGUAGGCCUAACACAUGCAAGUCGAACGGCAGCACAGUAAGAGCUUGCUCUUACGGGUGGCGAGUGGCGGACGGGUGAGGAAUACAUCGGAAUCUACUUUUUCGUGGGGGAUAACGUAGGGAAACUUACGCUAAUACCGCAUACGACCUACGGGUGAAAGCAGGGGAUCUUCGGACCUUGCGCGAUUGAAUGAGCCGAUGUCGGAUUAGCUCGUUGGCGGGGUAAAGGCCCACCAAGGCGACGAUACGUAGCUGGUCUGAGAGGAUGAUCAGCCCCACGGGAACUGAGAAACGGUCCAGACUCCUACGGGAGGCAGCAGUGGGGAAUAUUGGACAAGGGGCGAAAGCCUGAUCCAGCCAUACCGCGUGGGUGAAGAAGGCCUUCGGGUUGUAAAGCCCUUUUGUUGGGAAAGAAAAGCAGCAGGUUAAUACCCCGCUGUUCUGACGGUACCCAAAGAAUAAGCACCGGCUAACUGCGU